GCGGGGAUGAGUGAUUGGCUGAUUCCAAAACGACUAUUUCUUGCUUGCGGCCUGGAUCAGCGAUGAUGGGAAAAAUCGUGCAUGGAUUCACAUCAUGCCAGACACAGGCUACUGAGUACUUGUUGCACACAGGACGGCCAUUUUGCCAAUGUGUUUUGAUGAAAACCAUGCUACGGCUAUAUGUGGAGGGCAACAAAAGGAUUAUUCAUAUUUACGCCCCCACGAAGUCACAGUGAAUAAUCGUCAUAACCAUCCUGUUGAGCAGACUGAGGCAAGUAGAUGAGAACAGAAACGCAUGAGCUGGCAGUUUCAUCACCAUGACCAAGACAUCACUGUACGUACGUACUGUAUCGUACGUGUGUAAGUCGCGUACGCGUACGGUACGUAUACAUACGUACCAUUGUGUCAAGCGCCUGUUCCGAUGCAGCCAUGGCGAUGACGAUGAUGGUGAUGGGGUCCAUCUUGUUACAAUGUGAGGAGUGUGUCGCGCCGAGCUGAGAAAGAUUUUGCCCAUUCCCAUUCCCAUCCCCUUUUCCCAUUUCGCCUCUCGGGUCUGGCGCCAGACAGCCAGCAGUCAAAUCACAGCAGUCAAAUCACAGCGACCAAGAGUUUGGCUGAUCACAAGCUUGCCAAGAAGGUAUGGCUGUUGUACGAUUGGGCGGUAUGAUAAGAAUGGGGAUUCUCGAAAAGACACGGCACAGGCCGUGAGGUCUGCCAGCCUGAACGGCGCAAAAAACAAAAGGCAGAGAGCAGGGUUGGGGAGAGUGAUCGAAAUUCAUGAAUCAAGCUACCCAG
Molecule: small RNA, 795 nt
Filed under: Histoplasma ohiense
Lineage: Eukaryota; Fungi; Ascomycota; Eurotiomycetes; Onygenales; Ajellomycetaceae
Description: hypothetical lncRNA
Source: RNAcentral